UUAAAUAAAAUAGUGAACUAUCAAAAUUAGUAUUAUGAAAAUUGUGAAAGAACUAUCAGUUAAUCAGUAUAACUCGAAUGAAAAUUUUUUUUUAGUUGUAUAUUUCAAAAAAAUCAAUCUGAAAUGGCUGAAAAAAAUAAUGUUAAAAAUGAAUAAGAUAAAAUAGAUGGCUCCAUAUAUUUAAAAAUACUAUGGUGAUUCCAACGACGAUGGUGGUGCAAACAGUGUCGUGGUAGUGAUGGCGGUGGUGGCCGUGACGGCGGUGGUAGUGGUGAUGGUGGCGAUGGUGUCCGUGACGGACGUGGCGGCGGUGCCAAAAAGAAAAAUAGAAAUAAGUGCCACAUGUAUCAAAAAAGGAGCUAUACUGUUGUGUCAGAAGCUGCGGCCAAAGCUGCAGCAAAAAACAAUCAACGGGCCAAAAAGGUAGCAGAGAAAUACUCAGCUAUUGCUGAGGCUGCUCUAUCUACCGCUGCAGCUUUGGCCAAUAUUAUUUAAUCAGCUGAACUAUAAUGACUUUUUUCAUGUUAU
Molecule: long non-coding RNA, 528 nt
Organism: Aphis gossypii (cotton aphid)
Lineage: Eukaryota; Metazoa; Arthropoda; Insecta; Hemiptera; Aphididae
Exons: 3
Source: RefSeq, a predicted model, not a curated record